This 301-nucleotide ribosomal RNA is filed under the name uncultured bacterium. RNAcentral describes it as "partial 16S ribosomal RNA". It matches the Rfam family "Bacterial small subunit ribosomal RNA", at positions 509 to 807 of the family's 1533-position model. The record is from RNAcentral.
CAGUAGCCGCGGUAAUACGUAGGUGGCAAGCGUUGUCCGGAAUUAUUGGGCGUAAAGGGCUCGCAGGCGGUUUCUUAAGUCUGAUGUGAAAGCCCCCGGCUCAACCGGGGAGGGUCAUUGGAAACUGGGAAACUUGAGUGCAGAAGAGGAGAGUGGAAUUCCACGUGUAGCGGUGAAAUGCGUAGAGAUGUGGAGGAACACCAGUGGCGAAGGCGACUCUCUGGUCUGUAACUGACGCUGAGGAGCGAAAGCGCGGGGAGCGAACAGGAUUAGAUACCCCCGUAGUCCCUGUCUCUUAUAC